Molecule: non-coding RNA, 5004 nt
Organism: Arachis ipaensis
Lineage: Eukaryota; Viridiplantae; Streptophyta; Magnoliopsida; Fabales; Fabaceae
Source: RefSeq, a predicted model, not a curated record
UCACCGGAGCUGCUGGGCUCGCCGUAUGCUACUGUUGUGUCGCCGGAACUGUCCUGGGGUUUUGCCACUCAUUCAGAUUCUGCUCUGUUUUGGGUUAGUGCUGUUGCUAUUGUUUUGGCCGCCGGAAAACCUCGAUGCCGCCACCUCUGCUGCCGGAAACAGCCGCUGAGUCUUCUAUGAUGGGAAGCUCUAACCCUGCUUCAGCUUCUUUACCUGUUAAUUUCUCCAUGGGCCAUGAGAGUUGUUGCUAAGGCUGGUUGUGUCAGGAGUUUACCGCGAGUUGCCGUCGUUCUUGUCACCGGCUGUGAAGUUGGUGUUGCCGGAAUCCACCACUGGUGCAGCCGCUACUUGGUUCCCUCGAGUUUGGGUUGUUGAGACUGUUGUGAAAGUGGAUUGGAACCGAGGUUUUGGUUGCCGGGAUUUCGAUUGUUGAUUUCGGGUUGAGGCGGAAAGGACUCUGUGACGCGUUUGGGCUAUAGUUUUGCGUUGAGGUAUAUGCAGUUGAUGCCGGCGCCGACAUUGUCGGGCAGUUGUACGUGGCUCCUUUCACCAAUCCUGAACGAUACCGUGAAAGAGUUGAUUGUUGGCUCAAUAUCACCUCGCUUUCAAAAACAAAAACUUGACCUUCCUCCAGCCGAGCUGAAUAAAAAAAAGUAAAUCAACGUCUGUAAAGUGCAAACAUUGAUAACAAAAUCUAUCUAUUAAUAUUCUAUUAUAUUAAUAUACAAUAAGAGAGUAGUAGUAGGUCCUUUACUCGACAAGUGUAUAGGCUAAUUGUUCAACAAGUGUUGAAUUCAAAUACAUAACAAGUGUCCAGUCAAAUCUCUGUACAAGAAGGAGCUCGAUGGAAGUAGCGCUCUCUCUGAACAAGAAGGAGCUCGAUGAAAGUAGUAUCUGGCAAGUAAGACAGAUAAUGAAGGUGGUCGGUGCCAUGGUCAAAGAAAAGAGAAGAGGGAGGUAGAGGCUCCGAAUCUGUUUUCGGCGACGGCAAGGAUGAAGAACAAUGAGUCAAAGGUGAUGGUGGUUGUUGAUGCAACCGCAAAGAGAAAGGACAGUGGCAUCGGUUAGUGGUGUUGCAACCGUAAGUGAAAACGGAGCAACUGGCAGCAAGAUGAAGAGAACGAAUAGCUCUGAGAUCCUACUAUCGAGUGUUGCAAAGGUCAUUUUUUUCAAAUUAAAAUUUAUUUUAUUUUUUCUUUUUUUUUUAAACUAUACAAAAUUAUUUAUUUAUGUUUAAUCUGCAUUUGUUUUAGCUGAAGGUUGAGGCUGGGCUAAGUUGAUAGAGGAGCUAGUGGUAUGGUUGAUUUGCACUUGUUACAACAGCAUCCUUUCGAACAGCUUCAAAUCAUCUUCAAUUAAUGCGUAUAAGGUAUUUAUUUUUGUGUGCUAGAGUUUUAUUGCUGUCACGUUAUGAAAUAUUAUCUUUUGUGUUGCUGACAUCUUGAUUAAACAUUUGGAUGAAUGGAUAUGUACCCACUAAUUUUUAUACUAGAUGUCUAGAUCAAACACUAGUUUUACACUUGUUAUAUUAAAAAGAAAAAUUUAAAAAAAUGCUAACUAUAUUAAAAACACAAGAUAUACCUUGCACACUAUAAGUAAAGAUUUUAAAAAGAAAAUAGUUUAAUAAGAAAAUAGUUUGUACCUGUUCCCAGUAUGUUAGAUUAUCGUUAGGCCCAGUGUAAAGAACCGGCACUGGAUUCAAUAUAUCCACUACUAACUCUUGUUCCUCUUUUUUUGAGCAAAUUCAGCAUGAAACCAAAAAGCAAAAUCGUGUACCAAACUUAGAAAUAAUAUAUAAAACAACUUUUAGAGUUGCAUAGUAAACAAGGUGCGUAGGGAUCUAUCAGUUGAACCAGCAUCAUUUUUAGAGAAGGAAGAAGUUUAAGUAUUAUAAAAUUGAAGGGCAGACAUAAAAAAAAUUACCCACUUCAGUGCUGUCGACGUAAAAGGAGUUCGUACAUUCGCUAUGGAAAUACUAUAGCAGUCAAUAUCCAUCACAUGUAAUGGUAAACAAUAAACUUUUUCAAAAGAUAAAAUUACAAGCAAGAAAAGAAGAUAUUCAAAAACACUGGAUAGUCUUGCUGCAUUAUUUGUUGUCCUUGUUUUUUUUGUUUGAUUUUCUUGUUUUGGAGGAUUUUUACACUUUUUUUUCUCUUUCUUUAUAUACUCUCUCACACACAAGAAAAAAUUCAAGACUGUUAACAUAAAACAAAAUCACAAAAAAAUUGUGAUUCACCUUGUGAGGGUGAGCCAAAAGUUUUUCUUCUUUGAUUCUGUCUAUGGUCAGUUGUUGAAAUGCGUUUCGUUUGGUGAACGGUUUCAUGCGUGACACUGCAAUUAUUUUAAAUUGCACCACAAAAUAAGUAUAGUCAAAAUUUUUUUCAAUGACAAAUAAAUUUUGACUAUACUUAUUUUGUGGUAAAAUUUAAAAUAAUGGCAGUGUCACGCAUGAUACCGUUCACCAAACGAAACGCAUUUCAACAACCGAUUGUGAACAGAAUUAAAGAAAAAAAACUUUUGGCUCACCCUCAUAAGGUGAGUCACAAAUUCUUUUUUGUGAUUUUGUUUUAUAUUGACAAUCUUAGAUUUUUUUUUUUUGUGUUUGAGAGAGUAGAUGAAGAAAAAGAAAAAAAAAAUGCAAAAGUUCUCUAGAACAAAAAAAAUCAAACAAGGACAACAAAUAAUGCGGUAAGGCUGUCCAGUGUCUCUGAAUAUCUUCUUUUUUUGCUUGUAAUUUUAUUUUUUGAAGUUUAUUAUUAACCAUUGAUGGAUAUUGAUGCUAUAGUGUUUCCAUUCCUGAGGUAGCGAAUGUACGAACUUCUUUUAUGUCAAUAGCUCUGAAGCGGGGUAAUUUUUAUAUGUCUACCCUUCAAUUUUAUAAUACUUAAACUUCUUGAUUCUCUAAAAAUUAUGCUGGAUUCAACCGAUAGAUCCCAUGCACCUUGUUUACUAUGCAACUAUGAAAGUUGUUUUAUGUAUUAUUUCUAGGUUUGUUACACGGUUUUGCUUUUUGGUUUCAUGUUGAAUUUUAUAGAUCAUCAAAAAAAGAUGAACAAGAAUUAGUAAUGAAUAUGCUGCCAGUUCUUUACACUGGGUCUAACGAUGAUCUAACACACUGGAAACAGGUACAAACUAUUUUUUUGUUAAACUAUUUUCUUAUUAAAGUCUUUACUUAUAGUGUGCAACAUGCAGUUGAAACAUUUCUUUAAUUUUUUCUUGUGUUUUUAAUAUAGUUAACAUUUCUUUAAAUUUUUCUUUUUAAUAUAAAAAAUGUAAACCCAGUGUUUGAUCUAAUAUAAAAAUUAGUGGGUACAUAUCCAUUCAUCCAAAUGUUUAAUCAAGAUCUUAGCAAUACAAAGGAUAUUUCAUAAUGUGACAGCAAUAAAACUCUAACAGACAAAAAUAAAUACUUUAUACGCAUUAGUUGAAGAUGAUUUGAAGCUGUUCGAAAAGAUGUUGUAAUCACUACAAAUCAACCAUACCACCAUUAGCUUCUCUGUCAAUUUAGCCAAGCCUCAACUUUAAGUUAAAACAGAAGCAGAUUAAACAUAAAUAAAUGAUUUUGUAUAAUUUAAAAAAAAAGAAAAUAUAAAAUAAAUUUGUAAUUUAAAAAAAUGAUCUUUGCAACACUCGAUAGUAGGAUCUCAGAGCUAUCAAUUCUCUUCAUCUUGCUGCCAGCUGUUCCGUUUUCACUGAAGGCAGCACUACCACUAACUGAUGCCGCUGUUCUUUCUCUUUGCGGUUGCAUCAACAGCCACAGUCAACCUUGACUCAUUGUUCUUCAUCCUUGCUGUCUACCUCUCUCUCCUCUUUUAUUUGCCAGACGCUCUCCUAACCAUGGCACCGACCACCUUCAUUCUCAGUCUUACUUGCCGGAUACUACUUCCAUCGAGCUCCUUCUUGUUCCUCACCGGUGAUACCUUUCUGUAUUUUGAACCACCACUAUAUUUAUGUUUACUCACAUUUGCUUCAAUCCGACAAUCAGAGAGAGAGAGCGCGCUCGAGAGAGAUUUGAAUUGGACACUUGUCGAACGUUGAUUUACAUUUACAUUCAGUUCAGCUGGAAGAAGGUCAAGAUUUUGAAGGCGAGGUGAUAUUGAGCCAACAAUCAACUCUUUCACGGUACCGUUCAGGAUUGGUGAAAGGAGCCACGUACAACUACAUGUGUCAGUAUUAUCUUGUUGAUUUUCUAAUUGCAUUCAAGUAGUUUUAUUCCCUUAUAAUUUAUCAUUAUUCAUAAAUACAGUUUACAAAAUAAAAUUGAGUAAAAAAUAAAGAUAAAAUCAAAGUUUGUAAGCCUAACAAAAUAGCUUUUCAUGAGAAAAUUUGAGUUGAUAUUUAUAUAUUUGCAAAAAAAAAAAUUACCAAUGUACUUGAAGGAAGGAUUAGACCUGUGAAUUUGAGUCAGCUAUCUCUGGCAGUGGUGAAAUAUGAAAGCAUGUCCUAAAGAAGAGGGUUUCAUUUUACUUAAAUUUUAGUAAACAAAGAACUAUAUUUUAAAACUUUCUACAUAUGAUUUUACAAUACUGGAUUUCAACAUUCAACUAAAAGAAUACAGAUUAAGUAUCUUGUCAAUAAGCAUUUGGCCCAUCCAGUCAAAAACUAUCACAUCCACCUUCUUUUUUAUUUGAACAUCUUACUUUCAAGUAAAAUUCAAUAAAAAUUUUAUAUACUUUAAAGAGUUGAAGAAACCAAAAUGAUUUUCGCAACCAAAAGGUCUUUGUAAUUGUUUAAAUUAAGAUUUAGCACGUGAUUUCCUUAUCCAAUUCAAAAAAUAAAAGUGAAAUCAAAUUCAUACCGCACAUCCAAAUGCAAGUCUAGACCAUCAUAAUUUAAAGUAGAAAAGUACAAAAACUCUUUCGAAGUUUAAAACUUAUUGUUCAUAGUAACCUACCUCAAAUCGUCCAUUCAGUACAACGAUAACAUUUGAAAGAUCAUUUGUGACAACAAUAUUUGUCACCUGCUUGUAGAAAGGUAAAAGUAAGUGGAAACCAAGAACCCAAG